GACGAACGCUGGCGGCGUGCUUAACACAUGCAAGUCGAACGGAAAGGCCCUGCUUUUGUGGGGUGCUCGAGUGGCGAACGGGUGAGUAACACGUGAGUAACCUGCCCUUGACUUUGGGAUAACUUCAGGAAACUGGGGCUAAUACCGGAUAGGAGCUCCUGCUGCAUGGUGGGGGUUGGAAGGUUUCGGCGGUUGGGGAUGGACUCGCGGCUUAUCAGCUUGUUGGUGGGGUAGUGGCUUACCAAGGCUUUGACGGGUAGCCGGCCUGAGAGGGUGACCGGCCACAUUGGGACUGAGAUACGGCCCAGACUCCUACGGGAGGUAGCAGUGGGGAAUAUUGCACAAUGGGCGGAAGCCUGAUGCAGCAACGCCGCGUGCGGGAUGACGGCCUUCGGGUUGUAAACCGCUUUCGCCUGUGACGAAGCGUGAGUGACGGUAAUGGGUAAAGAAGCACCGGCUAACUACGUG
RNAcentral lists this ribosomal RNA (468 nucleotides) under uncultured bacterium. RNAcentral's name for it is "partial 16S ribosomal RNA". It matches the Rfam family "Bacterial small subunit ribosomal RNA", at positions 28 to 507 of the family's 1533-position model. The record is from RNAcentral.